Molecule: long non-coding RNA, 1943 nt
Organism: Tupaia belangeri chinensis (Chinese tree shrew)
Lineage: Eukaryota; Metazoa; Chordata; Mammalia; Scandentia; Tupaiidae
Exons: 5
Source: RefSeq, a predicted model, not a curated record
AGCCAGGCUGGCUGCGGACGGCUGAAGCUGCAGGGCCGGGCCGGCGCUUGGACUGCGCCUUUGGCAGGGAGCCGGGCCCGGGAGGGCACAGGACCCGAGUCCCCAGGCCUGUCCUUGAUCACAGGCCUCCCGAGCAUCACAGCCCUCAUGUGAUACGAUGUUCCCUAACCUGGAUGUACACGCAAGCCGGGGGUUGGCAAAGGGAAGAAACUCAGGGCUCUCUGGGGAUGAGAUGUGAAAGUGAGAGCAAGUCCUUGCCAUCCCCACCUCCAGAAGACGGACCAAGCCUCUGAUGGGCUCAAGCACUCACCCAAGGUCUCAUAGGUGAUGAGCUGCAAAAGAAUACUCACGUGGGAGUCAGUGAUCGGUGAGAGGACAACAACUUCCACACCUGCCUCAGCAUCAGUGACUGGAUCUGGAGGGGCCAGGAGAGUCAGGGGUUCAGGUUAUCCCUCAUGCCUGAGUCCCAUCCUGGCUUGGAAUCCUGCCUCUGAGUCCUGGAGAAAUGGAGUGGAGUUGGAAAACCUGGAUUCAGGUGCCAGUAUGUCCACGUGAACAUGACUCUGAAGCUCUGGGAGCUGCAGCAUCCUCACCAGUGGACUGGACAUCAUGAUACUGGCGGCCAUCACGACUCUGUCGGAUGCCCUGUGCACAGGAGAGAUGUGGUAGAGACACACCCUCAGCUCAAAGUGCUUUGAAGGUCAGUAAUUUCCACUCCUUUUCAAAACAACAGCACAGUUCUUCUGGGACCCAAAUGUUGAUUCUCUUCACUGAAAAAUGAGUCUUCUUCAACAGCAAAUGCAUUCCAGAAAUAUUUAUCCAGCCUUAAUGGACAGGACAUUCAAGAGUGACUGAAGACGAACCAAGCCGGAUCCUGUCCCCAGGCACUCCCCCAGCAGGGCUCAGUCGGCCUGUGCCACACAUCCAGGGGACAAGGCCAUCAGUGUGCGCCUCUCUUGGGCCCUGCAUGUGGAACCAUGGGAACCUCAAGGAAGGUGUCACCACUGGGUGAGAUCAAGUUAAUUAAGGAAUGUGAGCUAAGUACUGAAGGAAGAGGUGGAUUUUGAUGGACACAUGAUUAGGGAGGGGUAUACCAGAUGGAUAAACUGGUUGGCCAUGGGAAGAUAUUCUGAACAAGAAGUUAACAUUUUUAAGGAGAAUGUUUGCAAGUUACAGCUUGCAGAAUUUAUUGUACUAUCAAUAAAGACCAACGCCAUCUGCCCUCAAAGGCAUCCAGCCCUGCUUAGAGAACUUGUGGGGCUUCGCCUGGGCUUGUGGUAUGAGUUGGGACUUCUUUGACAAAUCACCUUUUGGAAGCACUGGCCUGUUCCAGCCACUAUAUUCCUUUCCUGAGGAGGGUCUAGGCAAGCCCAAGGGGACAGGGAGGCGUCAGAAGCAUCAGCCCCAUAAGCAGAAAGGUUUGGAACUAGUUAGACAGAUUUUGGCUCAGACUCUGCAGGGCUGGGGUAAGCUAUAUAGGCUCCUUGACUGCUCCUUGACUUAUAUCACACUGGAAGGAUGGACUUACCACCAACUCCUGGACGGGCUCUCGAGACUACUCAGAAUACAGAGUCAUUGUCCACAGGGUCUUAGAGUCACUGGGGGCCACCACACUGCCUUAGUGAUAGGAAUUAACUCAACCAAAGCCAAACUGGUCCUUUGAGCUCUGCACAUGGUGUCUGUGGCCUACCUGUUCCCCAGUCUCCGGUCUUGCUAAAUUAGCUCCUUUCCCUUAAAGAGAACUGGUCUGAGAGAAGACAGCCCCUCAAGCACCAUGUCACUGUGUUACAAGCUCUGUACCAGGAAAGUCGUGGUAUAGGCCAGGGCUGUUCCUGGGCUGGGAGGCAAGGCAUCCGGCCCCUGUCUGGUCCACCUCUAACCUGCAACUUUCUGUUGAGGCUGAUUUCAGUGCUGACCAUAGGUAGCCUGGUUUAUCAGAUGAA